RNAcentral lists this ribosomal RNA (466 nucleotides) under uncultured bacterium. Its description in RNAcentral is "partial 16S ribosomal RNA". It matches the Rfam family "Bacterial small subunit ribosomal RNA", at positions 28 to 507 of the family's 1533-position model. The record is from RNAcentral.
GACGAACGCUGGCGGCGUGCUUAACACAUGCAAGUCGAACGGAAAGGCCCUGCUUGCAGGGUACUCGAGUGGCGAACGGGUGAGUAACACGUGGGUGAUCUGCCCUGCACUUCGGGAUAAGCCUGGGAAACUGGGUCUAAUACCGGAUAGGAGCCAUUUUUAGUGUGAUGGUUGGAAAGUUUUUUUCGGUGUAGGAUGAGCUCGCGGCCUAUCAGCUUGUUGGUGGGGUAAUGGCCUACCAAGGCGGCGAGGGGUAGCCGGCCUGAGGGGGUGGACGGCCAUAGGGGGACGGACGGGCGGCCGGGACCCCGAGGGGGGGAGGAGGGGGGAAAGCCUGAUCAAGGGGCGCAGCCUGGAUGAAGAGGGGCGGGGGGGGGGAUAGCGCCUUUGGGGUGGAAAACCCUUUGCGCGAGAAACACCGCUUUUUGUGACGUUACCUAAAGAAGAAGCCCCGGCUAACUCCGUG